Molecule: long non-coding RNA, 1117 nt
Filed under: Rattus norvegicus (Norway rat)
Lineage: Eukaryota; Metazoa; Chordata; Mammalia; Rodentia; Muridae
Description: long non-coding RNA NONRATT011349
Source: RNAcentral
AUACGCACGCGUGGAGCGGGGAGGGCUGGGGGCCUCUUGGACAAACAGGUAUAUACGCACUCGUGGAGCGGGGAGGGCUGGGGGCCCCCAAGGCCGGAAUGCAUGUGCGUCUCUUCCACUGUCUGUUAUCCACACAGCUGCCAGGCUCCAGUGAGAGUUCUCCCUGUGGAAUGCAGGUCUUUAAGUACACUUAGGCCCCUGACUCAGUGACAUGCCUUUGACAGUCUUGUGCCUGUCUCCACUUCUUUACCUGUUUCUGUGGUAGACAGAAGCACCUUGGGGAAAGGGUGCCUGUGGUUCACAGUUCCAAGUACAACCUACUGGGGUGGGGGGGACUGUGUGUGUGUGUGUGUGUGUGUGUGUGUGUGUGUGUGUGUGUGUGUGUGUGUGUGUGUUGGGUGGCGGGCAGUAGGAACCGGAACCUGAAGCAGCUGGUCCCAUCCAGUCAGGAACAAAUAAUAAAUGGAACAAGCCAGUACUCAGCUGUUUUUUCCUGUUCCCUCAGUCCAGGGGUGGUGCGGUCAUACACAGGUAGGCCUCCCCAUCUCAGGUAACCCAGGAAAACUCAUAAGCCAGCCUGUUUGAAGUAGCCCCUCAUUGAGACUUUCUUCCUGAGUAGUUCUCACUGUGCCAGGCAGACUGAACUGUACACCAGCAAGCUGGAGAGUGGGUUCAGCUGUUAGAGUUCAGGCCCUAGUCAGUCCCCAUAUUUGACAGCUUAACCAUCUACAAUUCUAGUUUCAAGGGAUCAGUGCCCUCCUCUGAUGUCUCAGAAUACACACACGCACAUGCACACACAUAUCUUUAAACAAAACAAAAGCUGUAAAUAAUUAAAACAUUUUAAGAAUUAAGAUAAAGUGAAUCGUAUCUGGUAGGUGGGACACACCUUUAAUCCCAACACUAAGUCAAUCCCCAUUGGAUCACUGUGAGCACCAGGCCAGCCAGGGCUACGCAGUGAGACUGUCUCAACACACACACGGACACACAGGGACACAACAACACAGAAAUGUGAGUGUGUGUGCAUGCAUGUGGCCUAUGGAGGUCAGAGUGUGCGUGCAGACAGAACAUUCUUACAUUAAAAAAAAAUAGAUUAAAAGAAACAGCAAAACUAACUAUU